Molecule: ribosomal RNA, 156 nt
Filed under: Ceratostomella sordida
Lineage: Eukaryota; Fungi; Ascomycota; Sordariomycetes; Barbatosphaeriales; Barbatosphaeriaceae
Description: Xylomelasma sordida 5.8S ribosomal RNA
Rfam family: 5.8S ribosomal RNA
About the family: 5.8S ribosomal RNA (5.8S rRNA) is a component of the large subunit of the eukaryotic ribosome. It is transcribed by RNA polymerase I as part of the 45S precursor that also contains 18S and 28S rRNA.
Source: RNAcentral
AAAACUUUCAACAACGGAUCUCUUGGUUCUGGCAUCGAUGAAGAACGUAGCGAACUACGAUAAGUAAUGUGAAUUGCAGAAUUCAGUGAAUCAUCGAAUCUUUGAACGCACAUUGCGCCCACCAGCACUCUGGUGGGCAUGCCUGUUCGAGCGUCA